UACGUAGGGCGCGAGCGUUGUCCGGAUUUAUUGGGCGUAAAGGGCUUGUAGGCGGCUUGUCGCGUCGGAUGUGAAAACCCGUGGCUCAACUGCGGGCCUGCAUUCGAUACGGGCUGGCUAGAGUACGGCAGGGGAGACUGGAAUUCCUGGUGUAGCGGUGGAAUGCGCAGAUAUCAGGAGGAACACCUGUGGCGAAAGCGGCGCACUGGACCACAACUGACGCUGAGGCGCGAAAGCUAGGGGAGCAAACAGG
RNAcentral lists this ribosomal RNA (253 nucleotides) under uncultured bacterium. RNAcentral describes it as "partial 16S ribosomal RNA". It matches the Rfam family "Bacterial small subunit ribosomal RNA", at positions 524 to 776 of the family's 1533-position model. The record is from RNAcentral.